RNAcentral lists this unclassified non-coding RNA (665 nucleotides) under Hevea brasiliensis (rubber tree). The record is from RNAcentral. Lineage: Eukaryota; Viridiplantae; Streptophyta; Magnoliopsida; Malpighiales; Euphorbiaceae.
CCAGUUAAAGUUGAGUUUUGGAGGUAGCUAAGUGAAAUGGACAUAUAUUGAUUUUUAUUAGACAUUAAAUUAAAUUAAAAGACAUUUUCUUUUCAGAAGAACUACUAAGAAGAUUCUCUGGGGGUGGGUGAGCAAGACAGUAAUAGGAGGAAGAAACUUGUGGGAAAGGUGUUGGCACUUCAGCAAACUUAAUGGAUUCAAAACGUAAUAACAUUCUAAAGAUACAAAUGAAAGAGGGAAAAGCUUAAUUCACAAUUAAGUUUUGAUAUCUGUGCACAACAUGCUUGUAAGCAAGCUUAUAUGCUUGUAGUGAGUUCCUCGCAAGUUAGUGUUCCUUUAGGUUUCUUCAUGGUUGUAGUAGUUCAAAAUUCAGUGAACCUAUGGUACUGACAAAACCAAAAAUAUUAAAAUGCAUUUACUUUAACCAGCUCUAACUUGAUAGAUGGACAAAAUCCUCAAACCCCUGAUAGAAAAAAGAGUUACAACUACUAACUCGUGAUUAUAGCAAUGAUAACAGAAUAAAUCCAGAUUUUAGGAAUUUGAGUUCUAAGUUCAAGUGGUAAAAUUCGAAUAAUCAAGAAAACAGUACAUAGUUCAAUCCGGGAUAUUGAUGGUAUAUCAUCCCAACCAAAAGAAAGGUGCAAAUUAAAUGCACAAAGUGGGAG